Molecule: ribosomal RNA, 384 nt
Filed under: uncultured eukaryote
Lineage: Eukaryota
Description: SSU rRNA
Rfam family: Eukaryotic small subunit ribosomal RNA
Source: RNAcentral
AGCUCCAAUAGCUUAUAUUAAAGUUGUUGCAGUUAAAAAGCUCGUAGUUGUAUCUCUUAUGGGAGGGAUCGGUCCAGCAUUCUUUGUGGAAGCUUUUAUCCUCUCCGGCCAUUCUUGGGUGGGUCUUGUCUGGGAUUAAGCUGUCAGUCAGGAGAUGCCCAUCGUUUACUGUGAAAAAAUUAGAGUGUUCAAAGCAGGUUUAUGCCAUUGAAUAUAUUAGCAUGGAAUAAUAAGAUAGGGCCCUGGUACUAUUUUGUUAGUUUGCGUACCGAGGUAAUGGUUAAUAGGGACAGUUAGGGGUAUUUUUAUUCAGUAUUCAGUGGUGAAGUACUUAGACUUACGGAAGACAAACUACUGCAAAAGCAUUUACCAAGGAUGUUUUUA